GAUGAACGCUGACAGCAUGCUUAACACAUGCAAGUCAACUUGAACUUCGGUUUGGGUGGCGGACGGGUGAGUAACGCGUAAAGAACUUGCCUCACAGCUAGGGACAACAUUUGGAAACGAAUGCUAAUACCUGAUAUUAUGAUUAUAUGGCAUCGUAUAAUUAUGAAAGCUAUAUGCGCUAUGAGAGAGCUUUGCGUCCCAUUAGCUAGUUGGAGAGGUAACAGCUCACCAAGGCGAUGAUGGGUAGCCGGCCUGAGAGGGUGAUCGGCCACAAGGGGACUGAGACACGGCCCUUACUCCUACGGGAGGCAGCAGUGGGGAAUAUUGGACAAUGGACCGAGAGUCUGAUCCAGCAAUUCUGUGUGCACGAUGAAGUUUUUCGGAAUGUAAAGUGCUUUCAGUUGGGAAGAAAAAAAUGACGGUACCAACAGAAGAAGUGACGGCUAAAUACGUG
RNAcentral lists this ribosomal RNA (454 nucleotides) under uncultured bacterium. RNAcentral's name for it is "partial 16S ribosomal RNA". It matches the Rfam family "Bacterial small subunit ribosomal RNA", at positions 28 to 507 of the family's 1533-position model. The record is from RNAcentral.